CACUAAGCUGCCAGGCUCCAUUCUUAUCUUCUUCGUCUUCAACCUGUACGCAUGAGAGAGAAAGGGAAAGGAAGAAAAAAGGAAAAAGAGAGAAGAGAAGAAGAAUUAAUAGGGAAAAUUGAGUGGAAAUUAGUAGAUUUGAAGAAAUUGAAGCUCCAGCCCGUGAGGAGCUCGAGUGGCCAUGAGUCAAGGAAGGUGUAACGUGCUCAGAAGCUUAAAUUGGUAUUUCGACGAACCUACGACGCGCUAAUUGAGAAACGCUUCGUUCUAACUACGGGUACAUCGAGUCGUGAGGACGUGAUACUUGUGAGCUCCGGGAUAUUGGCUUUAGUAUUUCGGCAUCCCUACAGGUUCUAGCUCGUGCGAGGUGAUCGAGGAUCGUGGUAUGGACAGCGUUCCAUAGAUAGUGGACAUCCAUUGAGUAUAGUUGUACCUUAUUUAUUUCAUCUAUUUAUAGUCAAUGAAAGCAAAUGUAAAUUAUUCAUUUGAGAAAUGGCAAUGUAUAUAUUGGAAGAAUGAAUGUAAUAAUUAUGUAAGCUUUGUAUUUGAUUUAAAGUAAUUAAGAUACAAUGUAUGAAUGGUUUAGUUAGUUUA
Ananas comosus (pineapple) is the source of this 594-nucleotide long non-coding RNA. RefSeq lists it as uncharacterized. The transcript has 3 exons. NCBI's taxonomy places the organism in Eukaryota, Viridiplantae, Streptophyta, Magnoliopsida, Poales, Bromeliaceae. The record is from RefSeq and is a predicted model, not a curated record.